Molecule: long non-coding RNA, 1155 nt
Filed under: Rattus norvegicus (Norway rat)
Lineage: Eukaryota; Metazoa; Chordata; Mammalia; Rodentia; Muridae
Description: long non-coding RNA NONRATT004383
Source: RNAcentral
GGCUGUGGUGAUCAUGGGUGUGGUGCUGCAAGGUGCCAACCUAUAUGGUUAUGUCCGGUGUAAAGUGGGCAGCAAGAAGAACUUAACCAGCAUGGCUACGUCCUAUCUUGGAAAGCAGUUUCUAAGACAAAACGCUGGAGAUGGUCAGACUUCAUGAGUAAAGACAAAGACUGGGCCAUGGACUCUGGGAGCGAUGGAGAAGAUCUUGGUGUUUAGAGCUCAGUCUGUUGCAGGGUGGGAUGUUGUGUUUAUUUUGUUACUUAGAAGCUUAUUUAAAAGAAGGAAACCACACGGGGCUGGAAACAGUGUCAGAGUGUGCUUGGUGUAUGUCUGUAUAGACAGUCCUGUGACAGCAACGUGUCCCAAAUCUGUGUGCUCUUUGCACACAUGAAUGGAGCAUUAUAUUUGAUCCAUAGACCGUAGGAAGGGCGUUCAGUCCGUCUCAGAUAUCUGUGUUUGCAUAGUAUUCCUGUGUGUUGUUUUUCGAGGUAAGUUUUGAUUCGGUGAUAAGGGUCAACAUGUUGGUUCAUGUAUGAAUUAGAAACAGUUAUUAAUUUCAAUGUGUUCUUUAUGGUAAAAUUCCUUAUCUUAGACUUGUAUAAGCAAGUAAAAGCUAAAUUUGGGUACUAGUGUUAACUGAUUUCUAAAAUUUUGUUUUUUUUUAGUAGUAAGUCAUUCACUCGAGCUGUUUGAUAUAAAUGGAUCUUUGUAGCUGUGGUGGAUGGACAGGCCGCUGUUGCUGUGUCUUUUGUGGCCAUAGAUCACUCUGGAAAGAUUACCUUUUAAUAAGAAUAUUAUUCUUAUGUAAUAAUGAGAGUAAUUGCUUAAGUACUUGGCAUAAUAAAUGCCUAUAAAAUACUGUAUGAAUUUAUUUUUUUCUUGUUAUAAAGGGGAUAUUAUAAAUUACAUUUGUAUUAAGGUUAUUUCCUAAGACAGUGGUAUACUAUAGACUAAACCAAAUGUGAACUAUUAUAGGCAGCUGAAUUCUUUUGUAGCUACUGAAAAUUUUGUUGGAAUCUUUAGAUUAUGUUGUAAAUACAUUUGUCUAUUGUUGGCACAUUUUAAAUGUCUUCUUUAUUAAAUCAGGGUCUUUAUUAGAGUGUAGCUUGUCAGGUGUAUAACUUUAUAUUUAUAUAAAACUGCCAUUUACAAAGC